This 503-nucleotide ribosomal RNA is filed under the name uncultured bacterium. RNAcentral describes it as "partial 16S ribosomal RNA". It matches the Rfam family "Bacterial small subunit ribosomal RNA", at positions 30 to 523 of the family's 1533-position model. The record is from RNAcentral.
AUUGAACGCUGGCGGCAGGCUUAACACAUGCAAGUCGAGCGGGGUGAUGGUGCUUGCACUAUCACUUAGCGGCGGACGGGUGAGUAAUGCUUAGGAAUCUGCCUAUUAGUGGGGGACAACAUCUCGAAAGGGAUGCUAAUACCGCAUACGUCCUACGGGAGAAAGCAGGGGAUCACUUGUGACCUUGCGCUAAUAGAUGAGCCUAAGUCGGAUUAGCUAGUUGGUGGGGUAAAGGCCUACCAAGGCGACGAUCUGUAGCGGGUCUGAGAGGAUGAUCCGCAACACUGGGACUGAGAAACGGCCCAGACUCCUACGGGAGGCAGCAGUGGGGAAUAUUGGACAAUGGGGGGAACCCUGAUCCAGCCAUGCCGCGUGUGUGAAGAAGGCCUUAUGGUUGUAAAGCACUUUAAGCGAGGAGGAGGCUCUUUUGGUUAAUACCCAAGAUGAGUGGACGUUACUCGCAGAAUAAGCACCGGCUAACUCUGUGCCAGCCGCCGCAGUAA